UGGGGAAUAUUGCACAAUGGGCGAAAGCCUGAUGCAGCAACGCCGCGUGAGUGAUGAAGGUCUUCGGAUUGUAAAGCUCUGUCUUUUGGGACGAUAAUGACGGUACCAAAGGAGGAAGCCACGGCUAACUACGUGCCAGCAGCCGCGGUAAUACGUAGGUGGCGAGCGUUGUCCGGAUUUACUGGGCGUAAAGGGUGCGUAGGCGGAUGUUUAAGUGAGAUGUGAAAUACCCGGGCUUAACUUGGGUGCUGCAUUUCAAACUGGAUAUCUAGAGUGCAGGAGAGGAGAAUGGAAUUCCUAGUGUAGCGGUGAAAUGCGUAGAGAUUAGGAAGAACACCAGUGACGAAGGCGAUUCUCUGGACUGUAACUGACGCUGAGGCACGAAAGCGUGGGUAGCAAACAGGAUUAGAUACCCUGGUAGUCCACGCCGUAAACGAUGAGUACUAGGUGUAGGAGGUAUCGACCCCUUCUGUGCCGCAGUAAACAC
RNAcentral lists this ribosomal RNA (487 nucleotides) under uncultured bacterium. RNAcentral describes it as "partial 16S ribosomal RNA". It matches the Rfam family "Bacterial small subunit ribosomal RNA", at positions 355 to 858 of the family's 1533-position model. The record is from RNAcentral.